This is a long non-coding RNA of Populus euphratica (Euphrates poplar), 1239 nucleotides long. RefSeq lists it as uncharacterized. The record is from RefSeq and is a predicted model, not a curated record. Lineage: Eukaryota; Viridiplantae; Streptophyta; Magnoliopsida; Malpighiales; Salicaceae. The transcript has 3 exons.
GCCUUAUUUCUUACGAUCUAUUGCUUCUCUUUCCUAUUCCCGACCCUAACCUUUUUUCCUGAAUUCAAUUCACGGGAAGAAAAAGAAAAGAAACGAAAAGAAAAUUACAGAAUCGAAGAUCAUAUGAUGAUACCAAGCUUGGAAAGGGAAACCCUAAAGGUAAAUACUAGUCCAGUUAACAAAGACGAAGAAACAGAGAUGACACUGGAUUGCAAAACCCCAACCGGGCUGAGACAUAAAAUACCAGAGACGACAUGGGAUUGCAAGACCCCGACUGGGGAGGAACACAAAAUACCUAUCCUGAAAACUUGCCCCCCGGCUCCAGGUCCAAGGUGGCUUCUGGAUUCUCUCUCGGAGAAAAAGAAGGCGUCGAAGAUGAACUCUGUUGCCGAGCCAAAGAAAAUGAUUACUGAGUCCAGCAUUGUUUCAUCUGUCUGGACUAUGAAGUUCAAUUGAAUCGAGGUGUGUGGAGUAUGACCAGUCGAGAAAUCAUCACCAGGUAUGAAGAACAUACAGGGGCAGACAAGAUAUAGGAGUUGUUUGCAGAUUUCAUCCAUGCUAUCAGAUGACUAACAUGGUUGACUUCUUGUUUGUCAGGGGUUCUGCACAGUGAUUUGAACCUCUUCUUGUGUGGGUGAAUUUAAACCAUUGAAGAGCUGCUUCAGCUUUGCUCUUGAAUUUAGAAUGCCUCUGCAUUUCCAAGGAGCAGCGGCUAGAGUUUUUAGCCACUUGAUUGUGUUUCAUGAAUCUGAUGAGCUAGCUGUGUUUUUAUUGGUGGAGCUUAUUUCUAAAGCUUCAGUAAUCCUGUGUAGCUCCACCUCCUUUGAGUUAAUUUUUCCAGUGGGGCUUGGAAAAAUACCGAUGAAUUUUCCAGCACCAUUAUGAAUACCUCUCGUGAAGUCCGCAGCAUGAGGCUUUCCGAUAGAUAAUCCGUCCACGUUCUCCUUCAGGCUGUUGGCACUUGGAAGUGACCAAACCAAACUCCAUACAAUCAGAACAAGGGAAUCUUGCUUUCUUGCUUUGAUAUAUUAAUCUGAUUUCUCAUGGAACCAUCGAAACAAGGGAGCUUGAAACUUAUUAUGCAAGCUGGAAAGGUGCGAUAAUUCAUGGAACAACUCCGUGCAAUUAAUCUUUUCGGUGCUUCAACUUUUCAACGCUUGAUCUCGCAUGAAGAAGCAGCGGGAAUCAUUUCCAUAUCUCCCAUCACACACGCACACAGUAGUGUUACACAUGGCUGUA